CUUUUCCUUUUUAGACGGACAAACAAGAUCACAUCCCUAUUCGUCUUUAAAGGUUACCUAAGCGCACAGAAAAAUAAAGUGAAUGUCGCCGCUUAGCCUAAGACAUCACAACUGUACAAUAAUACGACUAUCGUGCCCUUCAAACAUGAGUCAAAAAAAAUUGUAUUUACAUUGUACGAAUGUUUGCGCGCAUGUGAGUGGCCGGCAUUAAAGUACAGUACUUGUUGUUCUGGAAAUGACUGGAAAAGGUGGAAAGGAAAAUUCGAGAUGUCUGCUGGAAGAGAUUUCUUAAAGAAAUAAGCAGUGCCUUUGUACAUAAUUUUCCUAUUACUCUGUACUAUGUCUUUUUUUCUGUAUGUACAUAAAUAAAAAAAAAAAAAAAUGUAUUAAUAAUUUUGAACUAAAAAUUAAUUAUGUUCUGAAUAAAGGAUGAUCCUACUGAUAGACUAAACGAAAAUACUCCAUAAAGUUUCAAAUCUUUCUUUUCUUAAACAAGACUAAAAAAAAUUUAUGUGCUAAGGACAAAGUUUUGUAAUAAAAUUUAAAACCAGGCGUCCUUUUUUUUCGACCUGGGAGCCGAACCUCCUACGAGGUCCCCACGCAUAAGGGGCUCGCGGGGUAUGUGAGACUCAACGAUCUGCAUGGUGUUGUGAGCAGACCGCGGGCCCAAGGAUUUUAGGCCCCAACCACUAAACGACUCCCCUGCACUCUCACACCCAACGAUCGAUCCCUUCCGAGUUCAGAACCCGGAUGAGGUAGGGGGGUUACCGCGGUCAACACUACAACCAGACGGCGCGGCGCGGCUCACCCCAAGGACGCCCAGCCGACGGAGCCUUCGAGGCGAAUCGAAGGCUGUGAAACGUCGGCCGUCUCGGUACGGCAGCCCGUCAGGCCGCCCAGACGGUGCCGCUGGUGUCCCGGAAUACCCCGCUGGACCAGAACCAGCCUGCCAGGUCGGGAAAAAUGGUUAAAACCAGGCGUCCUACCCUGCAGGCCAGGACGACUUUAAAACUUGCUUUGUUAAACAUCCUAUUUAAUUCUUACGAUACAUGCUUUAUAGAAAAAUUACUAAAGUAAAGAAGACGGCAUAUCUUAAGCGUUGUGCAAAACGAACUUUUUUGUAGUGCUAUAGAGAGUACAUCUUUUGAAGUGCGGUGUGGCUCACAAUAGCACCACUUCAUCUUUUCCCAUGGUUGUUGCAAAAGACGACUAAGCGACAAUAUUCCGCAGGUUUACCUGAGUGUUGUACUAGCUUUUUGCGAUCACUAGCCGUAUUUAUUGAUGGUAGAGAAAAUUUUAAGCCCACACGGACGGACACCACAAUUCUGCCUAUUUCUGCUUCGAAGUAAUUUUGCAUUCCGGUUUGCAGGGUGAGACAGCCGUUAAACGAUACAUGUAACAAGAUAGGUGACGGUGCUCACGUGAGAUAUCUAUGGGCUACGUUUAACAUUUUAGAUCGGGUAGGCCGUGAAAUCGUUUAUUGAGCAAUGCAAGAAAUACAUUUUUCUUUCCCUUUGUCUUUUUUUUCAGACACCACAUUCAUUCGAUACCAAAACAAUAACUUAAACAAUUUAUGCAGUUGCUCUUGAAAUUUCCCAACUUCGUGGCACUUUUUUCGCGACGUCUUCAUAUUUGCUACAAUGAUGCAAUGAUGUCAUCACUUUAUAGGCACAGCAUUUAUUGACUCGGAGCGGGGAAAGAACCGUAUCAAUGACUCACAGUAAUUCCCCGCGCAAUCUAGGUGCCUGAACCUGGCUUGCGGCAUUUUCAAGAUAAGCUUACAUUUAUACAGGUUCCCCAGAAGAACGUUCGGACCAUAGAUAAUACACUUAAUAUUUUAGGUUCAGACAGUCGGUCUACCGAGCAAUUUCAACCGCUCGAUGGAAGAUCUUCCCUCCGUCGUUAAGCCUCCCAAACUGGUGAUCCAUUAAAGCGGCGAAUAAAGCUUUUUUUAAGGCUGCGUAUAUAUAGUACAUCCAUUACACAAAAGUAAAGUUAAUGAUAAUAAUAAGAAAUUAUUCUGCACGUACUUAAGUUGGUGCUGUGGCGUGGCCAUUUUUUAGCAAAUUCUUUAAUCAAUUACCUACGGACUUCCGUUUUGUUGCGUUCUUUAAUGUUAACAAGUGACGUGAGGACGUAUUGACUCCCCACCUCAAAAUAAUUCAUACACUCAAACGCAAAAGUGUUGUUCUAUGAACUAUUUGCAUAAUAACUUAUGGCUUAUUUCUCUCGCGAAACGGUCAUUAGUUCCGAUUUGAUGAGUGGAACAGUCUUUAUAAUCUACACUUGAGAUUAGUGAUGUCUAUGACCUAAUGCAUCCAAUAGUGCAAUAAAAUGUUAUGACUAAAAAGGUAGGCAGUGGAAUUCACGGGUUGAUGUCCAUGGGAUCUGCUGAUACAGCUUAAUAUCUACCUUAAUAUGGAGCGGCCCAGCGGUUAGUGAAUUUAUAGCAAUAAAAAAUAAAAGAGAUUUAUUAAAAUAAAAAUAUAUGUAUUACAAUAUAUUUUUUCACAUUACAUCACUUAUCACUACGAUAACAAAAGUAGAUUCAAUAUUUCAAGCUAACUGAAGCUGAUCAUUUUCUCGUUAUUGUUAACAACAAUGACGCAAUCCAAUUUAAUUGUAUAGAAGAGAUAAAUAUAUUGUUGUUAUAUUACAAAAAAUUCAUUUGAUUAGCGUCUUUGCAGUAUAAACAUGAUUUUAUUUGUAAACUUAAUUCAGUUAUCACCUUUGUUAUCAGUUAAUAAUAUAAUAACUAAAUCCUUAAAAAUAUAAUAUUCGAUUUAAAAAAUGGAAUGAUGAAUUCAUGGCAAAACAAUCGCUUUUCUUCAUUUGUUAAUCAAAUCCAAUUAAUACAUUACUAUGACAAUAGAGCUAUGGAUGUUUUAAAAAUCUUAUGUUAAAAACAAUAGACUAUUUUUAUUAGGUAAGUCAUUUCAUAGAUAAUGUAUUUAGGCGUUUGUUUUUUUCUCCGUGACAUUUUGUCAUCUUUCAUCAAUCACAAAUGCUAAUAUAAAUUGGCGCCAUAAAUAAUUUUUGCAUCAAUGGUGGAAAAGACGCAAGUUAGUAUGCGCGAGCGCUAUUUUGUGUUCGUUGCACGCUUCGAUGACUUCUUGAUCGUUGUUCGAACCAGACGGACUGCCGAUGUAUUCCACGCCGCACUAUAAAAACAAAAACAAAAAUACGAACGAUAAGUUAUUUUGAAAGUGAUAACACGUCAGAACCAUAUGACAGUCUUUAUGUAAA
Long non-coding RNA from Bombyx mori (domestic silkworm), 3246 nucleotides. RefSeq lists it as uncharacterized. Lineage: Eukaryota; Metazoa; Arthropoda; Insecta; Lepidoptera; Bombycidae. The record is from RefSeq and is a predicted model, not a curated record. The transcript has 3 exons.